RNAcentral lists this transfer RNA (74 nucleotides) under Saliniramus fredricksonii. RNAcentral's name for it is "Salinarimonadaceae bacterium HL-109 tRNA-Gly". It matches the Rfam family "tRNA". Rfam says of the family: Transfer RNA (tRNA) molecules are approximately 80 nucleotides in length. Their secondary structure includes four short double-helical elements and three loops (D, anti-codon, and T loops). Lineage: Bacteria; Pseudomonadati; Pseudomonadota; Alphaproteobacteria; Hyphomicrobiales; Salinarimonadaceae. The record is from RNAcentral. RNAcentral also lists the same sequence under 10 other names.
GCGGGUGUAGCUCAAUGGUAGAGCAACAGCCUUCCAAGCUGAAGACGGGGGUUCGAUUCCCCUCACCCGCUCCA